RNAcentral lists this ribosomal RNA (253 nucleotides) under uncultured bacterium. RNAcentral describes it as "partial 16S ribosomal RNA". It matches the Rfam family "Bacterial small subunit ribosomal RNA", at positions 524 to 776 of the family's 1533-position model. The record is from RNAcentral.
UACGAAGGGGGCUAGCGUUGUUCGGAAUUACUGGGCGUAAAGCGCACGUAGGCGGAUAUUUAAGUCAGGGGUGAAAUCCCAGAGCUCAACUCUGGAACUGCCUUUGAUACUGGGUAUCUUGAGUAUGGAAGAGGUAAGUGGAAUUGCGAGUGUAGAGGUGAAAUUCGUAGAUAUUCGGAAGAACACCAGUGGCGAAGGCGACUUACUGGACACAUAUUGACGCUGAGGUGCGAAAGCGUGGGGAGCAAACAGG